RNAcentral lists this ribosomal RNA (1437 nucleotides) under uncultured organism. Its description in RNAcentral is "16S ribosomal RNA". It matches the Rfam family "Bacterial small subunit ribosomal RNA". The record is from RNAcentral.
GCUUAACACAUGCAAGUCGAGGGGCAGCAUGGUCUUAGCUUGCUAAGGCCGAUGGCGACCGGCGCACGGGUGAGUAACACGUAUCCAACCUGCCGUCUACUCUUGGACAGCCUUCUGAAAGGAAGAUUAAUACAAGAUGGCAUCAUGAGUCCGCAUGUUCACAUGAUUAAAGGUAUUCCGGUAGACGAUGGGGAUGCGUUCCAUUAGAUAGUAGGCGGGGUAACGGCCCACCUAGUCUUCGAUGGAUAGGGGUUCUGAGAGGAAGGUCCCCCACAUUGGAACUGAGACACGGUCCAAACUCCUACGGGAGGCAGCAGUUAGGAAUAUUGGUCAAUGGGCGAGAGCCUGAACCAGCCAAGUAGCGUGAAGGAUGACUGCCCUAUGGGUUGUAAACUUCUUUUAUAAAGGAAUAAAGUCGGGUAUGGAUACCCGUUUGCAUGUACUUUAUGAAUAAGGAUCGGCUAACUCCGUGCCAGCAGCCGCGGUAAUACGGAGGAUCCGAGCGUUAUCCGGAUUUAUUGGGUUUAAAGGGAGCGUAGAUGGAUGUUUAAGUCAGUUGUGAAAGUUUGCGGCUCAACCGUAAAAUUGCAGUUGAUACUGGAUAUCUUGAGUGCAGUUGAGGCAGGCGGAAUUCGUGGUGUAGCGGCGAAAUGCUUAGAUAUCACGAAGAACUCCGAUUGCGAAGGCAGCCUGCUAAGCUGCAACUGACAUUGAGGCUCGAAAGUGUGGGUAUCAAACAGGAUUAGAUACCCUGGUAGUCCACACGGUAAACGAUGAAUACUCGCUGUUUGCGAUAUACUGCAAGCGGCCAAGCGAAAGCGUUAAGUAUUCCACCUGGGGAGUACGCCGGCAACGGUGAAACUCAAAGGAAUUGACGGGGGCCCGCACAAGCGGAGGAACAUGUGGUUUAAUUCGAUGAUACGCGAGGAACCUUACCCGGGCUUAAAUUGCAGAUGAAUUACGGUGAAAGCCGUAAGCCGCAAGGCAUCUGUGAAGGUGCUGCAUGGUUGUCGUCAGCUCGUGCCGUGAGGUGUCGGCUUAAGUGCCAUAACGAGCGCAACCCUUGUUGUCAGUUACUAACAGGUUCCGCUGAGGACUCUGACAAGACUGCCAUCGUAAGAUGUGAGGAAGGUGGGGAUGACGUCAAAUCAGCACGGCCCUUACGUCCGGGGCUACACACGUGUUACAAUGGGGGGUACAGAGGGCCGCUACCACGCGAGUGGAUGCCAAUCCCCAAAACCUCUCUCAGUUCGGACUGGAGUCUGCAACCCGACUCCACGAAGCUGGAUUCGCUAGUAAUCGCGCAUCAGCCACGGCGCGGUGAAUACGUUCCCGGGCCUUGUACACACCGCCCGUCAAGCCAUGGGAGCCGGGGGUACCUGAAGUGCGUAACCGCGAGGAGCGCCCUAGGGUAAAACUGGUGACUGGGGCUAAGUC